Molecule: ribosomal RNA, 360 nt
Filed under: Triticum aestivum (bread wheat)
Lineage: Eukaryota; Viridiplantae; Streptophyta; Magnoliopsida; Poales; Poaceae
Description: partial small subunit ribosomal RNA
Source: RNAcentral
AUGACCCGCGGCCGAAGAGUGAGCUGGUCAGUAAUUGCAGGACUGACAUCGACAAGCCAUGACAUUGUUCUAGAGGACAAAAUCGUGCUCGCCAACAAUAGUGUUUCCAGGGAUGUGAUCUACAGCGUCGAUGAGGCCAUGAAACAAUGUUUUUCUCCCGAGUGGAAGGAGAGGACAUGCAGUGGCGUUUUCGCAGUUGGAGGCGAGGUUGAGGAAGUUGAAUCAGGUUACGCUUUGGCAACAUCCACCCGAACUGCUUCGAAGAAUUACCAGGACGCCUUCGUAUUUUAUACUGUGUGCGGGAAUUGUCUUUCAGUAAGGCUUGCAUUGAUGCUUUUAUUAAAAGCAUGUUGUAUUUAG